GCUGGGCAUGGUGGUGCAUGUCUGUAAUCCCAGCUACCAGGAGGCUGGGGUGGGAGAAUCAUUUGAGCCCGGGAGGCGGAGAUUGCAGUGAGUCAAGAUGGCACCACUGCACUCCCGCCUGGGCGACAGAGUGAGACCCUGUU
Molecule: non-coding RNA, 143 nt
Filed under: Gorilla gorilla gorilla (western lowland gorilla)
Lineage: Eukaryota; Metazoa; Chordata; Mammalia; Primates; Hominidae
Source: Rfam by way of RNAcentral